UAAAUUGCCUCUUCUUCUCCGAGCCUUGCCAAGCUUUUCGAUCUGCCAGUAUGAGUGUAUAACUGCUUCGAUCGAUUCUCAGCAUUUUUCCUACACUUCUCCUUUGUCUCUUCAUAGU
Non-coding RNA from Arachis ipaensis, 118 nucleotides. Lineage: Eukaryota; Viridiplantae; Streptophyta; Magnoliopsida; Fabales; Fabaceae. The record is from RefSeq and is a predicted model, not a curated record.